CCUACGGGAGGCAGCAGUGGGGAAUAUUGCGCAAUGGGCGAAAGCCUGACGCAGCGACGCCGCGUGAGGGAUGAAGGUCUUCGGAUCGUAAACCUCUGUUAGCAGGGAAGAACGGUCACUGUGCUAAUCAGCAGUGAAUUGACGGUACCUGCAAAGGAAGCACCGGCUAACUCCGUGCCAGCAGCCGCGGUAAUACGGAGGGGGCGAGCGUUAAUCGGAAUUACUGGGCGUAAAGCGCUCGUAGGCGGUAUGUCAAGUCAAGGGUGAAAUCCCCGCGCUCAACGUGGGAACUGCCUUUGAAACUGGCAGACUGGAGUGGGUGAGAGGAUAGUGGAAUUCCAGGUGUAGGAGUGAAAUCCGUAGAUAUCUGGAGGAACAUCAGUGGCGAAGGCGACUAUCUGGCACAUAACUGACGCUGAGGAGCGAAAGCGUGGGUAGCAAACAGGAUUAGAUACCCCUGUAGUC
This 465-nucleotide ribosomal RNA is filed under the name uncultured bacterium. RNAcentral's name for it is "partial 16S ribosomal RNA". It matches the Rfam family "Bacterial small subunit ribosomal RNA", at positions 338 to 795 of the family's 1533-position model. The record is from RNAcentral.